CAAAAUAAAGCAUUUCCAUGCAUCUCUUUUACACUGAGAAGAAAGUAUUAAUGUACUUAUUUUGU
This 65-nucleotide transfer RNA is filed under the name Arctonoe vittata. RNAcentral describes it as "tRNA-Val". Lineage: Eukaryota; Metazoa; Annelida; Polychaeta; Phyllodocida; Polynoidae. The record is from RNAcentral.